AGGGUGCGAGCGUUAAUCGGAAUUACUGGGCGUAAAGCGCACGUAGGCGGUUUGUUAAGCUAGAUGUGAAAGCCCAGGGCUCAACCUUGGAAUUGCAUUUAGAACUAGCAGGCUAGAGUUUUGAAGAGGGUGGUAGAAUUUCCAGUGUAGCGGUGAAAUGCGUAGAUAUUGGAAGGAAUAUCAGUGGCGAAGGCGGCCACCUGGUCAAAAACUGACGCUGAGGAGCGAAAGCGUGGGGAGCAA
This 243-nucleotide ribosomal RNA is filed under the name uncultured bacterium. RNAcentral's name for it is "partial 16S ribosomal RNA". It matches the Rfam family "Bacterial small subunit ribosomal RNA", at positions 529 to 771 of the family's 1533-position model. The record is from RNAcentral.